This 468-nucleotide ribosomal RNA is filed under the name uncultured bacterium. RNAcentral describes it as "partial 16S ribosomal RNA". It matches the Rfam family "Bacterial small subunit ribosomal RNA", at positions 28 to 507 of the family's 1533-position model. The record is from RNAcentral.
GACGAACGCUGGCGGCGUGCUUAACACAUGCAAGUCGAACGGAAAGGCCCUGCUUUUGUGGGGUGCUCGAGUGGCGAACGGGUGAGUAACACGUGAGUAACCUGCCCUUGACUUUGGGAUAACUUCAGGAAACUGGGGCUAAUACCGGAUAGGAGCUCCUGCUGCAUGGUGGGGGUUGGAAAGUUUCGGCGGUUGGGGAUGGACUCGCGGCUUAUCAGCUUGUUGGUGGGGUAGUGGCUUACCAAGGGUUUGACGGGUAGCCGGCCUGAGAGGGUGACCGGCCACAUUGGGACUGAGAUACGGACCAGACUCCUACGGGAGGCAGCAGUGGGGAAUAUUGCACAAUGGGCGGAAGCCUGAUGCAGCAACGCCGCGUGCGGGAUGACGGCCUUCGGGUUGUAAACCGCUUUCGCCUGUGACGAAGCGUGAGUGACGGUAAUGGGUAAAGAAGCACCGGCUAACUACGUG